This 252-nucleotide ribosomal RNA is filed under the name uncultured Ruminococcus sp. RNAcentral's name for it is "partial 16S ribosomal RNA". It matches the Rfam family "Bacterial small subunit ribosomal RNA", at positions 524 to 776 of the family's 1533-position model. Lineage: Bacteria; Bacillati; Bacillota; Clostridia; Eubacteriales; Oscillospiraceae. The record is from RNAcentral.
UACGUAGGGAGCAAGCGUUGUCCGGAAUUACUGGGUGUAAAGGGAGCGUAGGCGGGGAUGCAAGUUGGGUGUCAAAACUACCGGCUCAACCGAUAGUCGCACUCAAAACUGCAGCUCUUGAGUGAAGUAGAGGCAGGCGGAAUUCCUAGUGUAGCGGUGAAAUGCGUAGAUAUUAGGAGGAACACCAGUGGCGAAGGCGACUUUCUGGACUGUACCUGACGCUGAGGCGCGAAAGCGUGGGUAGCGAACGGG